GUAAAGUACUUUCAGUCGUGAGGAAGGCGGCGUCGUUAAUAGCGGCGUUGUUUGACGUUAGCGACAGAAGAAAGCACCGGCUAACUCCGUGCCAGCAGCCGCGGUAAUACGGAGGGUGCGAGCGUUAAUCGGAAUUACUGGGCGUAAAGCGCAUGCAGGUGGUUUGUUAAGUCAGAUGUGAAAGACCCGGGGCGUCAACCUCGGAAUUGCAUUUGUAAACUAGGCAGACUAGAGUACUGUAGAGGGGGGUAGGAAUUUCAGGUGUAGCGGUGAAAUAGCGUAGAGAUCUGAAGGAAUACCGGUGGCGAAGGCGGCCCCCUCGGACAGAUACUGACACUCAGAUGCGAAAGCGUGGGGAGCAAACAGGAUUAGAUACCCUGGUAG
Molecule: ribosomal RNA, 384 nt
Filed under: uncultured bacterium
Lineage: Bacteria
Description: bacterial SSU rRNA
Rfam family: Bacterial small subunit ribosomal RNA
Source: RNAcentral